RNAcentral lists this ribosomal RNA (901 nucleotides) under uncultured bacterium. RNAcentral's name for it is "partial 16S ribosomal RNA". The record is from RNAcentral.
CGGUCGUACUCCCCAGGCGGAGUGCUUAAUGCGUUAGCUGCAGCACUAAGGGGCCGGAAACCCCCUAACACUUAGCACUCAUCGUUUACGGCGUGGACUACCAGGGUAUCUAAUCCUGUUUGAUCCCCACGCUUUCGCACAUCAGCGUCAGUUACAGACCAGAAAGUCGCCUUCGCCACUGGUGUUCCUCCAUAUCUCUGCGCAUUUCACCGCUACACAUGGAAUUCCACUUUCCUCUUCUGCACUCAAGUUUUCCAGUUUCCAAUGACCCUCCACGGUUGAGCCGUGGGCUUUCACAUCAGACUUAAAAAACCGCCUACGCGCGCUUUACGCCCAAUAAUUCCGGAUAACGCUUGCCACCUACGUAUUACCGCGGCUGCUGGCACGUAGUUAGCCGUGGCUUUCUGAUUAGGUACCGUCAAGAUGUGCACAGUUACUUACACAUAUGUUCUUCCCUAAUAACAGAGUUUUACGAUCCGAAGACCUUCAUCACUCACGCGGCGUUGCUCCGUCAGGCUUUCGCCCAUUGCGGAAGAUUCCCUACUGCUGCCUCCCGUAGGAGUCUGGACCGUGUCUCAGUUCCAGUGUGGCCGAUCACCCUCUCAGGUCGGCUAUGCAUCGUUGCCUUGGUAAGCCGUUACCUUACCAACUAGCUAAUGCAGCGCGGAUCCAUCUAUAAGUGACAGCAAGACCGUCUUUCACUUUUGAACCAUGCGGUUCAAAAUAUUAUCCGGUAUUAGCUCCGGUUUCCCGAAGUUAUCCCAGUCUUAUAGGUAGGUUAUCCACGUGUUACUCACCCGUCCGCCGCUAACAUCAGAGAAGCAAGCUUCUCGUCCGUUCGCUCGACUUGCAUGUAUUAGGCACGCCGCCAGCGUUCAUCCUGAGCCAGGAUCAAACCCUC